CGGGUGAGUAAUGUCUGGGAAACUGCCUGAUGGAGGGGGAUAACUACUGGAAACGGUAGCUAAUACCGCAUAACGUCUUCGGACCAAAGUGGGGGACCUUCGGGCCUCACGCCAUCGGAUGUGCCCAGAUGGGAUUAGCUAGUAGGUGGGGUAAUGGCUCACCUAGGCGACGAUCCCUAGCUGGUCUGAGAGGAUGACCAGCCACACUGGAACUGAGACACGGUCCAG
RNAcentral lists this ribosomal RNA (228 nucleotides) under uncultured bacterium. RNAcentral's name for it is "partial 16S ribosomal RNA". It matches the Rfam family "Bacterial small subunit ribosomal RNA", at positions 103 to 334 of the family's 1533-position model. The record is from RNAcentral.